RNAcentral lists this transfer RNA (64 nucleotides) under Trigonopterus sp. 7 AH-2016. RNAcentral's name for it is "tRNA-His". Lineage: Eukaryota; Metazoa; Arthropoda; Insecta; Coleoptera; Curculionidae. The record is from RNAcentral.
ACCUAGAUAGUUUAAGAAAAAAUAUUGGAUUGUGGGGUCAAUGAUAUAAAGUUUAUUUUAGGUA